CCUACGGGUGACAGCAGUGGGGGAUAUUGCACAAUGGGGGGAACCCUGAUGCAGCGACGCCGCGUGGGUGAAGGAGUGCUUCGGCAUGUAAAGCCCUAUCGGCAGGGAAGAAGCAAGACGGUACCUGACUAAGAAGCCCCGGCUAACUACGUGCCAGCAGCCGCGGUAAUACGUAGGGGGCGAGCGUUAUCCGGAUUCACUGGGUGGAAAGGGAGCGUAGACGGCCAAGCAAGCCAGGGGUGAAAGCCCGGGGCCCAACCCCGGGACUGCCCUUGGAACUGCAUGGCUGGAGUGCGGGAGGGGCAGGCGGAAGUCCUGGUGUAGCGGUGAAAGGCGUAGAUAUCAGGAGGAACACCGGCGGCGAAGGCGGCCUGCUGGACCGCGACUGACGUUGAGGCUCGAAAGCGUGGGGAGCGAACAGGAUUAGAUACCCCUGUAGUC
Molecule: ribosomal RNA, 441 nt
Filed under: uncultured bacterium
Lineage: Bacteria
Description: partial 16S ribosomal RNA
Rfam family: Bacterial small subunit ribosomal RNA
Source: RNAcentral